RNAcentral lists this long non-coding RNA (5647 nucleotides) under Sus scrofa (pig). Its description in RNAcentral is "lncRNA (ENSSSCG00025005197.1)". Lineage: Eukaryota; Metazoa; Chordata; Mammalia; Artiodactyla; Suidae. The record is from RNAcentral.
AGUGACAGGUCAUGAAAGAUAAAGCUACAGACCCACUGGAGAUGUGGGCCAGCCGAAGUUUCAACCAGAUGUCGCCAGAGUGGCCAGUCUCCCCCAGGCAAAGCAAAGCAAAGCGAUAGUUCCUGGACAACUCCUUUCGUGGUGGACUUCCUGAGGCCCUCUGCGCCGGCUCCUGGCUCUACAGAGCUUGUUCCUGGGGACCAGUUACUCCAGGCUUUGGAUCUCCCCACCUCAAUAGUUCGCAGGGAAGUUCUCCAUCAUUCCACUGGGGCCAGGCCUUGGGUUCCACUCCAGAAGCCCCGAAGCACCCUUCCUCCUGUCCAGAGUCCUCUCUCCUACCUACUUGGGCUUAGGCUCAGCCCACCUGUGGGCUGGGAGGGGAUGGAAGAGACAGGUGGGCCCCUAGAUGCACUGGCUGGAUUGCAGACAUAUUUAUGCUCCAUUUCUAGUGUCUGGUCCUUCCUGUGGUCCCACUGAUGGGGGAACAGAAAGGAAACAGGAGGGGGCUGGGGUGACAGGCACAGCCCACUAGGCUGCCCUCCUCUGCCUCACCCUCCCUUGCCUGGGCCCCAGCUGAGCCCAUCAUCAGAGGCCUCCAGGAGCUGGGGCCACAGUCUGCGUGGGUCUGCCCCUCCCCUCACCCCAGCCUAGAAGACUCCACCUCUCCCAGGUCCUGGCUGGGAUCCGAAGGCCCCGGGCAAGUGGGGGAAGGGGAGCCACUCCUACUUUCCCAGCAGCUGCUGCUGCCUCUUCCUGUUUUGCUAAAACUUUGGCUCCGGACCCAAGGGGGUGGGGGAAAGUCGCCAGGCGCUCUCGCCCCCCCCAAAGGUCAAACUCAUCCCCCUGGUCCUCUUAGCUAGUUAUUUAUAGCUCCCCAGGCCCUGGCUGAGGAGCUACAUCUCUCCUCCCCCAAAUGUCAGCAGCUGUGGCCAUUGCCCCAGGGAUGCAGCCAGAUGUGCUGAUCACUCCAGAUGCGCAGUGCCAGGAUUUGGGAGCGCAGGCCAGGCCCUUUCUCCUGGACAUUCCCUGCUGCCUGGUUCCUCCUCCACUCUGAGUCAACAAACCUGAGUCCUGGGGGAUGGGGGGACAUCAGGAAGUUCCCACCUAUUUUCUCCACUCCCAUUGCCUGAUCCCAAGACGGGACAGCUCGGGCUAUAGACCCACGUGGAUGUCUUUGCAUAAAUUAGGACAGGACUCAUUUGGAGACUGGAUUUGUAGAAGUCAGCUGCAGUUCAGAGGGACAGAAGGGUCAGGAUGCUGGAUGCUGUCUUCUUACUAACGUCAGCACGGAGAUCCACUCCUGAGAGUCCAGCGUCCAAAGGGCAGGCUCUGCGAUUCUUUUCUUUGGCUACAUCCUGCUCUCCAGGAGAUGAUGAAUUCCCCAGGGAGAGGACUGCAGCUUCCUUUGCCUCUGUGCCAGGAAGUUGCUCAACAAAUAAGAGAUUAUACGUAAUGAAAAAGAGUUGAAGUCAGUGGUGGUCACGUGUGGGUGGAUCCUUCAAGGUUGUAGCAAGGGGAGAAGUCCAAACCCAUCCUAAAAGACACUCCUGGCAAAGAGAGUGUCAGGACCUCCUCAAACGCUUGCCUAGAGAUUCCAAGGCCUGAGAAGGUCCUGCUGCGGCCUGUGGCAAGGCUGAACUCCCGAGCCCACCAGUGGGUGGACCACAGCAUCCCUGCAGGGGCCACUGGAGCACGUAAUUGUGAGCUGGCUACAGAAAGGCAUUUUGCAACUCAGACGAAUUUCUUCUCGCUCACGAUUAGGGUAUGGCCCAGUGGCUGCCUCCCUGACUGUAAUCUCUGCUGGCACAGGCAUCUCCGGGGCUGGGCAGUGGGGGCUGUGGAAGGAGGGCUGACCUAGAAGCCUGGACGCCGGAGUUCUCUGCCCGCUCCUCGCCAGGGAUUAACCAUGGCAUGGCUGGCAGGGAGACUGGGUUCUCAGUUUCCUCAUCUGUAAAAGGAGUGAUGUGAUUAGAUUAGAGCGGCCCAAACCUAACCACACCUUAGGAUUACCUGGGGAGCUUCAGAUUACUAGGUACUCCCUUCACCCCUUGCAUCUGCUGGGGGCUGUGAGAUGGCCCAGGAAUCUGUUUUUCACAGGCUCUUCUACAUGAUUUUUUUUGGGCCACACCCACAGCCUGUGGAAGUUCUGGGGCCAGGGAUCGAACCUGCGACCCUAGCCACUGCAGUGACAAUGCCGGAUUCUUAACCUGCUGAGCCACAGGGAAACUCCUACAGGAUUUUGACAUAAUGUCAAGUAUGGGGGAUCCUACAGACUAUAAAUAUAAAUAGACUGUAAAUAUAAAUCACUUGCAGCUCUUAGGAGAAAAGAUUCUAGUAAAUGGAAUGGCUGUAACAAGAGGCUUUGGUGCUGUGGGAUUUUAUCAGAGGGCAAAUGGUGGGUAGUUUAUUUCAUCAUCAUCAUCACCAUCAAUUACUAUUUUUUCCAGGCCUUUUUUGGCUGCACCUGCAGCAUGCAGAAGCAUGCGGGGCCAGGGAUCAAACCAGCACCCCCGUGGUGACAACACCAGAUCCUUAACCCGCUGCACCACCAGGGAACCCCUCCAGUUUUAUUGAGAUAUAAUUGACCUACAUCACUGUGUAAGGUGUACAGCACAAUUUGAUUUACAUACAUCAGGAAAGGGUUAUCAGACUAAGUUUAGUAAAUAUGUAUCAACUCAUAUAGAUACAAAAUUAAAGAAAUGGAAACACCCUUUUCUUCCUGCGAGCAGAGGACUCGGGAUUGAGGCCCUCGCUUACCUCAAGGCUGGAGCCGGGCUGGGAGAGAAGGGAAGGGAGGAAUGGGCCGUCCCUGUAGGUGGGGCCUCUUGGCACGGGGACCUUUCUCUCUCACUCUCCUGGGUGGAGUUUGGCUGCACGGGCUUUGGCACCAGCCUCUGGAGCUGAGAGAGUGUCUUCCCAUCCGUAUUCCUCCCCCACUUCGGUUUCAGCCCAGAGGACAGCCCCCUUCUCCUCCUCCUGCCCCGACUUCCUCCCCAGGCUCCCUCACCAACCUCAUUCCUAAGCCUCGCUAAUCUGUUUGCCACCCUCUGCUUCCUUGCCUCGCCCUUGCUCAUGCCAUUCUCUCCACCUGGAAUGUCACCCCCGCCCCCCAACACCAAUUCACAUUUCUGGGCUCCUUUGAAACCCAGCUCCAGACUGGCUGACGUCGUUGGGGCUGUGAUCUGCCCAGGUCGCUCCUCUUCGGAGAUAGACUCAUUUAUGCUUGAAAUCACAGAAUCAGAGAACAGCUUUAGACUCAGAAAGAAAUAAGUACAGAUGACCUAAACCAGCUCUCGCAUUCAAUGGACGGAAACCCUGAGGCCCAGAGAGGUCUUGACUUGGCCAAGGUCACACAGUCGUGAGGUUUGCUGGUGGUGGUGGUGGCGGCGAACAGUUGGCUUCACAAGAGGCUUUCAAGUAUCCUACGUCUUUGUUUUAUUUCCUCGACACGUGGUGAUGCCUAUGAGGGCAGAGGUGAUGUUGCUGUUUUAAUUGGUGUUCUUAAGCUCCACGGUGCUGUGUAUGUGCAGGCAACUGUAAUAGUUCUAAAACUCGCAGGGGUGCACAUUUUGCAUAUGAUCUCAGACCAGCCCUGAGCGGUAGGUCACCAAGGCAUUGCUAUCUUACUGAGCAGGAAACUGAGACUUAGAAAGGUGUGACCCAGGAAGUUAAUGGCAGAACCGGGGCCAAAACGCAAGUUCCCUGCCUCCCAGCCUCAGCCCAGGACCCUGACACCCAUGAUGCUGUUCUUCUAGAGCCUUCCUGAGGUUCCCGGCAGGGGACCUAGAGUAGUCAAAGGGGUGGCCUCCGCCGUCUUUCGCCUUCCUUGUGAUUUCUUCACUUUGGGGUUGAGCAGACCUUGCCUCUGGCCUCCUACCCCUCCCCAUCCUGUCCCACCGCGUUCUCCUUGUGUCCCCCCACAGCCUGUUGGCACAUUGACCCAUACGCAUACAUGCUCAGAGCUGCAGGUGUCUAGGGCAACAGACCACAGGGGAAACCACAUCACCUUUGUUGACACUGGAGGGAGGCAGGGGGGCCGGGAAAGAACCUGCUUACGUCUCUCCACCUGCCUCUGUCCCCGCAGUCAUCUCACCUCCCAGCCUGGUGGGUCAUCUGGACUUGACCCAUGGCCCAGCCUCUUCCUGAGGACCCAUCCAAACCUGGCCCGGGAGGAUGUAUCGCCCCUUCUCACAGAUCCUGAAAUCCUGGAGGGAGGUGGGGCGGUCUGCCUAGCUGCACCCCAAAGCCACACCCCCAAUCCUAGCCAGUUUACUGACCUAGCUCCUCUGAUUCCACCUGCGCAGUGCAGCAGACAAAGGUGGAAACCAGGAAUGAGAGGACAUGGCUGGGGGUCGGUAAGGAAGGAAAUUUGACAUCUAGGCCAUCACUCCUACAUCAAAGGGGACCGCUAGGGAGUUCCUGUCGUGGCUCAGCGGUUAAUGAACCCAACUGGCAUCCAUGAGGACGCAGGUUCGGUCCCUGGCCUCGCUCUGUGGGUUAAGGAUCAGGUGUUGCCGUGAGCUGUGGUUUAGGCCGGUGGCUACAGCUCCAAUUAGACCCCUAGUCUGGGAACCUCCACACGCCGCAGGUGCGGCCCUAAAAAGACAAAAAGACACCAAAAAAAGGUGGAGGGGGGACCUCUAGUAACCAGGCUACACGGGAUCUGUGGUGUUUGGACCUGCUGAAAGAAGCUGCACAGGCUCUGAAUCAGGCCCAUUUGGGAUUAAGUCACUUGCUGGCUCUGUGGCCUUGGGCAAAUCAUUUUGUGUUUCUGAGCUUUAGUUUGCUAACUAAAACAAUGGGGAUAAUAAUGAGAUAUAAGUGAAAGGUCCUGGAACAGCACAGGAUACCAAGGAGACGCUCAAUAAAUCCUAAUUACCCUCCCUCCCUCCUUUCCUUCCACUUGUUGCAUCUGGCUCCAUGAAACCCUUUAUUUGGAAUUGGAGCUCUACCUCCCCUAUUUACGUGCAAGUCCAAACCCUGAGCAUUGGCAUCUGAUCCCAGGUUCAGAAACAGGAAUGCACAUCCCCACAGCCCAAGGAAGUGGCUGUCCCUCGGAGCGUGCACCCAGGCCAAGGACGAACACCUUCUGAUCGGCCUUGUGGAGAGGGUGUGAGAAGUCCAGGUUAGGAAAGGGCUUGUGGCUUCAGACACCACAUCGAGAAAGCGGGUCAGGAAUGGUCUCAGAGGCCUGCGGUUUAGACCGAUGCCUUCGGAUGGAGCUUUGAACCCUGGCACAAGGUGGGCGCCCAAUAACACUUGUUGAAUGAACGCAUGGCCUCAGCACUUACUAGUUGUGUAACGUUGGUCAUGUUUCUCAACUUUUAUGAGUCGCACUUUAAUCACAAACAUAACAAGGAUUACUGCUAAGAAUAAAUGAUCUCAUGUUUGCCAGGGGGCUGGCAUAGGGCUGCUGCAUGGCACACAGUCAGUAAAUGGUAGCUAAGUAAGGGGAUGUGAGAUAAACGAGAAAGAGAAGGUCAAAGAGGCUCAGAACCCCAAAGCAAGCGGAAGGUGGCUGCCUUCAGGCUUCGUACUGGCCAGAGACUCCAGGAAGACUCUGGGGAGCCAAGGCAGGUCCUGUGGGGCUAAUCUCUUCUGCUAGGUGCUUAGCUGAGCAGUCUGUGAGAGGCCUGGACUCAAGAGC